RNAcentral lists this ribosomal RNA (302 nucleotides) under uncultured bacterium. RNAcentral's name for it is "partial 16S ribosomal RNA". It matches the Rfam family "Bacterial small subunit ribosomal RNA", at positions 508 to 807 of the family's 1533-position model. The record is from RNAcentral.
GCAGUAGCCACGGUAAUACGAAGGGUGCAAGCGUUACUCGGAAUUACUGGGCGUAAAGCGUGCGUAGGUGGUGGUUUAAGUCCGUUGUGAAAGCCCUGGGCUCAACCUGGGAAUUGCAGUGGAUACUGGCGAGCUAGAGUGUGUCAGAGGAUGGUGGAAUUCCCGGUGUAGCGGUGAAAUGCGUAGAGAUCGGGAGGAACAUCAGUGGCGAAGGCGGCCAUCUGGGACAACACUGACGCUGAGGCACGAAAGCGUGGGGAGCAAACAGGAUUAGAUACCCCAGUAGUCCCUGUCUCUUAUAC